AUGGACUGGGAGGGACUGGGAGGGACUGGGAGGGGGUUUGGGGUUACUGGUUUAUACUGGGAGGGAACUGGGAGGGGGUUUGGGGUUACUGCUUUAUACUGGGAGGGACUGGGAGGGAACUGGGAGGGACUGGGAGGAACUGGGAGGGAGUUUGGGGUUACUGGUUUAUACUGGGAGGGACUGGGAGGGACUGGGAGGGAACUGGGAGGGAACUGGGAGGGACUGGGAGGGAGUUUGGGGUUACUGGUUUAUACUGGGAGGGGACUGGGAGGGAACUGGGAGGGGGUUUGGGGUUACUGGUUUAUACUGGGAGGGGACUGGGAGGGACUGGGAGGGAGUUUGGGGUUACUGGCUUAUACUGGGAGGGGACUGGGAGGGCGUUUGGGGUUACUGGUUUAUACUGGGAGGGACUGGAAGGGGGUUUGGGGUUACUGGUUUAUACUGGGAGGGACUGGGAGGGACUGGGAGGGAGUUUGGGGUUACUGGUUUAUACUGGGAGGGACUGGGAGGGAACUGGGAGGGGGUUUGGGGUUACUGGUUUAUACUGGGAGGGACUGGGAGGGACUGGGAGGGAACUGGGAGGGAACUGGGAGGGACUUUGGGGUUACUGGUUUAUACUGGGAUGCAACUGGGCUGAACUGGGAGGGACUGGGAGGGACUGGGAGGGGGUUUGGGGUUACUGGUUUAUACUGGGAUGAAACUGGGAGGGAGUUUGGGGUUACUGGUUUAUACUGGGAGGGACUGGGAGGGACUAGGAUAUACUGGGAGGGGGUUUGGGGUUACUGGUUUAUACUGGGAGGGACUGGGAGGGACUGGGAGGGAGUUUGGGGUUACUGGUUUAUACUGGGAGGGACUGGGAGGGACUGGGAGGGGGUUUGGGGUUACUGGUUUAUACUGGGAUGGAACUGGGAGGGAGUUUGGGGUUACUGGUUUAUACUGGGAGGGACUGGGAGGGACUGGGAGGGACUGGGAGGGGGUUUGGGGUUACUGGUUUAUACUGGGAGGGACUGGGAGGGGGUUUGGGGUUACUGGUUUAUACUGGGACGGACUGGGAGGGAGUUUGGGGUUACUGGUUUAUACUGGUUUAGGGUUUGCUGUUACUGGGACAGACUGGGAGCGGAUUGGGAUAAACUGGGAGGCACUGGGAGGGAACUGGUCUAUACUGGUUUAUACUGGGAGGAGCGGAACCUGGAGGUGGUGCGGCGCAAACAGCGCGAGAAGAAGAAACUGGGCCUGAGACAGCCCAAACUGGGACAAACUGGGACAUACUGGGACACACUGGGACGGCAAUAA
Molecule: long non-coding RNA, 1293 nt
Filed under: Taeniopygia guttata (zebra finch)
Lineage: Eukaryota; Metazoa; Chordata; Aves; Passeriformes; Estrildidae
Description: lncRNA (ENSTGUG00000020811.1)
Source: RNAcentral